This 1441-nucleotide ribosomal RNA is filed under the name uncultured Bacteroides sp. RNAcentral's name for it is "bacterial SSU rRNA". It matches the Rfam family "Bacterial small subunit ribosomal RNA". The record is from RNAcentral. Lineage: Bacteria; Pseudomonadati; Bacteroidota; Bacteroidia; Bacteroidales; Bacteroidaceae.
GCUUAACACAUGCAAGUCGAGGGGCAUCAGGAAGAAAGCUUGCUUUCUUUGCUGGCGACCGGCGCACGGGUGAGUAACACGUAUCCAACCUGCCCUUUACUCGGGGAUAGCCUUUCGAAAGAAAGAUUAAUACCCGAUAGCAUAAUGAUUCCGCAUGGUUUCAUUAUUAAAGGAUUCCGGUAAAGGAUGGGGAUGCGUUCCAUUAGGUUGUUGGUGAGGUAACGGCUCACCAAGCCUUCGAUGGAUAGGGGUUCUGAGAGGAAGGUCCCCCACAUUGGAACUGAGACACGGUCCAAACUCCUACGGGAGGCAGCAGUGAGGAAUAUUGGUCAAUGGGCGCUAGCCUGAACCAGCCAAGUAGCGUGAAGGAUGAAGGCUCUAUGGGUCGUAAACUUCUUUUAUAUAAGAAUAAAGUGCAGUAUGUAUACUGUUUUGUAUGUAUUAUAUGAAUAAGGAUCGGCUAACUCCGUGCCAGCAGCCGCGGUAAUACGGAGGAUCCGAGCGUUAUCCGGAUUUAUUGGGUUUAAAGGGAGCGUAGGUGGACUGGUAAGUCAGUUGUGAAAGUUUGCGGCUCAACCGUAAAAUUGCAGUUGAUACUGUCAGUCUUGAGUACAGUAGAGGUGGGCGGAAUUCGUGGUGUAGCGGUGAAAUGCUUAGAUAUCACGAAGAACUCCGAUUGCGAAGGCAGCUCACUGGACUGCAACUGACACUGAUGCUCGAAAGUGUGGGUAUCAAACAGGAUUAGAUACCCUGGUAGUCCACACAGUAAACGAUGAAUACUCGCUGUUUGCGAUAUACAGUAAGCGGCCAAGCGAAAGCAUUAAGUAUUCCACCUGGGGAGUACGCCGGCAACGGUGAAACUCAAAGGAAUUGACGGGGGCCCGCACAAGCGGAGGAACAUGUGGUUUAAUUCGAUGAUACGCGAGGAACCUUACCCGGGCUUAAAUUGCAGUGGAAUGAUGUGGAAACAUGUCAGUGAGCAAUCACCGCUGUGAAGGUGCUGCAUGGUUGUCGUCAGCUCGUGCCGUGAGGUGUCGGCUUAAGUGCCAUAACGAGCGCAACCCUUAUCUUUAGUUACUAACAGGUUAUGCUGAGGACUCUAGAGAGACUGCCGUCGUAAGAUGUGAGGAAGGUGGGGAUGACGUCAAAUCAGCACGGCCCUUACGUCCGGGGCUACACACGUGUUACAAUGGGGGGUACAGAAGGCAGCUAGCGGGUGACCGUAUGCUAAUCCCAAAAUCCUCUCUCAGUUCGGAUCGAAGUCUGCAACCCGACUUCGUGAAGCUGGAUUCGCUAGUAAUCGCGCAUCAGCCACGGCGCGGUGAAUACGUUCCCGGGCCUUGUACACACCGCCCGUCAAGCCAUGGGAGCCGGGGGUACCUGAAGUACGUAACCGCAAGGAUCGUCCUAGGGUAAAACUGGUGACUGGGGCUAAGUCGUA